Aedes albopictus (Asian tiger mosquito) is the source of this 5144-nucleotide long non-coding RNA. RefSeq lists it as uncharacterized. The record is from RefSeq and is a predicted model, not a curated record. The transcript has 2 exons. NCBI's taxonomy places the organism in Eukaryota, Metazoa, Arthropoda, Insecta, Diptera, Culicidae.
GUUAACUAGGUACGCUAUUGUAUGCAUUUUGAGAAAAUGUGUCUAGUAAAACUUACCCCACGUCUCCACUAGUCUGAAAUGUCUUGCCAUUUUGCUGCCAGAAAGAGAAAACCUAACAGAAAUGAUCAACACCGGAGCUUUUCAUGCAAACAGCGAGAUAACAUUUCUGUCAUGACACAUCUGUCCAGCAAAAUGGCAAGACAUUUCUGUCUAGUGGAGACGUCGGGUUAGUAUCAAGAAGAAUUAUGGAAUUCUGAUGUAUUCUGUGUAAAAAUACACAAGCGAUAGACGUAUAACUGUCUUAUGUUAAAAAUUCUUCAGAGCUUAUAGGGUAGUGAACCACUUGGGCAGCGGCCGGUAUUUUGGGCACUUUUAGCUAUAACUCAGUCAAUUCCAAACUAAUUGACUUGGAAUUUUGUACACUGCUAGGUACUAUACGCAUCUCAUUGCGUUUCAAAUAUUGUGUCAAUUGGUUCAGAAUUGGCUGAGUUAUAGCAGAAAAGUGCCCAAAAUAGGACCCCUGCCGAGAUGGUUCUAUUUCCCUACCUUUGGGCAGCGUAUUUCGGUGCAAUGGAGGUACUUUUCUGUUAAUAGCUGAAGAAGCUCUCACUAAAAUAAGAAGUAUACAAUAAACUUUAUCCCUACAGGAUAAGUCAAAAUGAAAAAGUUCGAUAGCAGGAAAGGGAACACUCACUUUCAAAAGAUUUUAUUUACUUGCUACUGUUUACUGUGUCGAUUUAAGAGCUUUGUAUCAAACCUGGCUUACCUCUUGUACCGACUUUUCAACCCUCUAGGGGUCGAUUUCUUCACCUUGGCUUUACCGGUAAGCCAGGUUUACCCAUAUAGUUAAACCUGGUUUAACGCUUAAGCCUUGGUGAAGAAAUCGGCCCUAAGCAAAAUACCCUCUUCGAAUGAGUGUAAUCAGUUAUUGUACCAUUCAAUUUCGCCCUCUUUUGUCUUUUCCCAUAGUGAAUCCUACGCAAACUUUGAACCGCUUGCGCUGGAUUGUGGUUUCACCGAUUGCGCUGAAAUUUUGCACAGUUCAUAUGGGACCUGAUGGAGUCCAAAAAGUCGACUGGCGCGAGAAUUUGAUUUUAGUCCCAUGCUACUGUGCAUGCAUCGCUCCUGUAAGGGAGGAGUAUGGCAGCAUAAUCGAUCGUGUUCGCUAUGAGCCAUUUUACGAGACGUUUCGGAUCAGCUGAUCGCUAAUUUCAUGAAUGAAAAUUUGACAGGAGGUCGCGCCCAAGCUCGUUAGUGUUAAUAUCAAUAUCAACACUGUUGUCGUUUCGUAAAAUAGACUAUUGUAGGAGGCGGGGCAGUAUGGACACCCUAAGGUUUUGCCAACUUUACCUGGCAAGAUGCCACACUUAUAUGAAAAACAAAAAUUAUGAAAAAUGCCAAGUCUUACCUCCUAAAUCAGUUGUUUUGAACUCCCAGAAGCUACGUUUAAAAUUUGAGCAAAAUUGGUUGAGUCUAAGGGGGCGCUCAAAUCGCUUGAAAUUUGUAUGGGAAAACUUGAUCAAAUGUAUGCAGAAAUUUUAAGUUUUCGAAUUUUGCCGCUAGAUGGCGCUGUAAGCGUUCAAUAAUCAAACCCUUUGGUAUUAGUGUAGGUGACUAUAUGCCAAACAACUUUUUUGCCGUUUUUCUUUAUUAUCCAGUUCCAACCUGGGUUGGAACUGGAUCAGAUCACAGUUUCAACCCAAACCCGAUUUCGGUUUUGCUUGUACUAAAGUUUGUUUGACGUUGUUUGUUUACACAUUAUCCGCCAAUCCAGUUCCAACCCAGGUUAAAAAAGAAAAACGACAAAGUGAAGACCGCAAAGUGAUCCAACGUCUGUGAAAAAAGUUAUACUCUAGGUAAUGAGGAUAAUCUUUAUUGUUGUUUUUCCAAUACAUGUAAAGCAGGGGUUCCCAACCUUUUUGUGCUGGCGACCCCCUUUAAGAAUUGUCGAAACAUCUGGGGCCCAAUGAUUUUUUUUUUGGAAAAAAAAUGAAUUAAAUGAACAAAACCGAGUUUAUUUUUGGGUACAGUGACGUAGCCAGAAAUUUACUGUGGGAGGGGUUUUCACUCACAUUUCGUAAACAAUGAUGUCAUGUACAUUCAAUUUGAGUUAUAGCUGAAAAAUAGCGGCGUAGCCGAAAAUUUUUUCAUCUGAAGGCGUUUUAUACUGAAAAUUUGUUCCUAAAAUUGUCGCUUUUGGGGUUGGCGGUAUACAAAAUUAACAAUUGGUAUAAUUUGCACAAAAUAGAAUAAAAAAAUUAACAAGUUUUUGGUAACAUCGCGGCCCCCUUGGACUGGCUUCACGGCCCCCCAGGGGGCCGCGGACCACCGGUUGGGAACCCGUGUGCUAGUAAGUCUCUUCGGCUGGAAACAUCGUCGGAAUCACCAACAAAACCUUCGAUUCUUCAUCGUCUUCUAUAGAGUACGGUAAUGAGUUCUCGUCAAAUUUGAUAUCACGUUAAACAAAGAGCUUCCUCGAUUUCCUAUCCCAGAGCAGAGCCUUGGACCAUAUGUACUCCGAUGUAUCUGAGUCAAUCACAAUUAGUCUCACCUUCCUCAUCAGCUUAUGGACGAAUCUCUCUGCAAAAUCAUUCUACUGCAGAAAAUACACUAUGAAUAGUUGAAUUUAUAGAAUUCAUUUGAACAAUAUUCCCUUCCUUGAUUUACAGUUAUUUUGCUGAUCCGUUUCCCAAAUUGAGCAGCAACAAUCGCUUCAUAACACUUUGGACGGGAUCUGUAGACUCGCAGACUUCUGAGUGUAUCCGCUCCGGUAAACGUUCAGCUCUUUCUUUUGAUUUUUUUCUUUUGAAGGCGUUUUAUACUGAAAAUUUGUUCCUAAAAAUGUGGCUUUUGGGGGUGGCGGUAUACAAAAUUAAAAAUUGGUAUAAUUUGCACAAAAUAGAAUAAACAUUUAAAAAUCUUUUGGUAACAUCGCGGCCCCCUUGGACUGGCUUCACGGCCCCCCAGGGGGCCGCGGACCACCGGUUGGGAACCCGUGAAUUAGUAUAUUGUGAGGCAAGCACAAUGAUACACUAUGCCCAGGGAGUCGAGAAAAUUUUCCCGACUGGAACGGGAAUCGAACCCGCCGUCUCCAGAUUGGCGAUCCAUACACCCAAAAUAAUAUUCACCUUAGGUUUACGUGAAAGCAUACAUAGAUUUUUUCCACUGUAUUUUUCACGUAAAAUCAACUUGGGGGUCAGGUAAUGCAAAGCCAGCCAGAUCCUAGUUCAUUGUAAAAAGUUGUCAGAUAACAAAUACGUGGUUUUCCAGUUUAUCUUAAACAGAUGCCAGAUUAUCAUAACAUGAACCUCCAAUAAUUACCACUGGAUUUUACUGAUAUUAUUUAUCAUCAUGGAAUAUUUUGUUAUUCAUUUCACCCGGAUUAAUACACUUGAUAAAUAAACGCAUUCAGUUUAUUGAGCAGUUUAUAAAUAAAAAGAAAACAAAAUAAAUAAACACUUAUUCUAAUCACAAAUUCUUCUCGCUUUUUCUGCAUGUAACAAACCGGACGCCACCGCGCUUCCAAUAAGUCUUGAAGCGUACUUCCGUUGAGCAUCAGUUGUGCAUUCUGGGUUGUCUAAAAAUAAAUAGAACUAAUGAAUAAUUAAUUUAUUUGAAAACCAAAUAGUUUACGCACGAGAACGUUUCGUUUUCUCCGCGAGCUGAUACGCGCAAAAAGUAUCUCGUACGAUCAAUCCGUACCCGCUCGCUCCAAGUACUUCCAAAUCCUGCAGGGACAGCGUCAACAGAUUAUUAAGUCCAAUAUCACACUCUGGAAUAAUGAACUACCUGCAUCGGCUGCGGACACAUUUCACCGCGAGAGGCGCUUCAUGCAUCGCUUCAACCCUAUCGGAAACAAAUGGAAUCAAUCGAAUGUUCCACUAAACUCCAACAGAUGGCGACUCUAUAGCGUAAACAAGUCUACCGUGAGUGCACCAAGCUCAGGAACACAUUAUUUUUAGUGUUUGCUACUGAUUGAACUUCAAAAAUAAAUAAAAAUAUAUUUCAGCGCAUUGUUUUAUAUUUGAAUGUUAUUUAUUUUAUAGAAAACAUGCGCUUUAUGUAGAAUUUCAAUUCUAAAUGAAUAUUUCAAAUUAAUAAAUAUUCCAUCGUGUGCCAAAUAUGGGUGCAGUACGGUAAAGCUGCUGAUAGAAACAUUUUGACAGCUCAGAUCAACACCACAAGCACAACAGUUCGCGUUUACGAAGCCGGGAAACACUCUUUUUUCCUACGGGGUUUUUUUAUGGGAGUAUGAGAAAAACAAAGCAAAAAAUCUUCCCUCCUUCACUUUCUCACAGAAAACCGCAAACAAAAUCAGCACCUUCGUAGUCCCCAGUAGUCGCGGUCGUGAGCUCAGACGUUCGACUUUUGUUUGGAUUCGCGGGAUAUUUUACAAAGAAAGUUAGUGAUUUUGUGUAAUGAGAAUGUCACAGCGAUAAGAAGUGAUACGGUGCCUUCCGGUGGAUAUGAUGAGGGAUUCAUUCCGCCGCUGGAGACGGUGGAUAUUACCUUCGGUCUGCGAAUGAUGUCCUGAAGGAAACCAACAAGAAUCAGAAGUUUCCGUAGGAGAAUAUCAGAUUGUUCCUCCUGGAAGUCAAACAAGAGCUGGAAAAGUAGACUCAGGAUCGCUUCAUGGAACAAGUUCUGACAGCACAAAGUGAACAUGAAGUUGUUCCAAGUGAGAUGCGGAACUAUUGCAGGAGUUCGCCAACAUUACACCAAGCUAUGUCCGAGAAUUUUGGAAUAUUACACGGAUAGGACUCACCGGUGGAAUCUGUGGACGUGGUAUGCAGAUACGAGAAACACACCAACUUUCGCCACCAGAUCUGGAGUAGGAAAGCUCAUGUUAAUGGACGCAAAGAUGAUCGCUUCAGUUGACGCGUUGGAAAAGUGGUGCAGUGCGCGAGAUCGUGUUGAAGAGUGCGACGGUUUCUUAAAAGCAUUCGCCGUACUUAGAACACGGAUUGAAGGCAAAUUCAGUCGGCUGGAAUGUGCAUUGGAAGAAAAGGCAGCUGUUAUUUGCUAAGAAACCCUGAGAGGCGUUGUUUGACCCAGCUUAUAGAACGGACUAGAUUAGACACGCGGCAUGAAGAUAUAUUUUUAUUAUUUUAUAUUUUCAAACCAAAUACACUGUACACCUCAAA